Small nuclear RNA from Cebus imitator (Panamanian white-faced capuchin), 158 nucleotides. Its record names the gene U1. It matches the Rfam family "U1 spliceosomal RNA". Rfam says of the family: U1 is a small nuclear RNA (snRNA) component of the spliceosome (involved in pre-mRNA splicing). Its 5' end forms complementary base pairs with the 5' splice junction, thus defining the 5' donor site of an intron. NCBI's taxonomy places the organism in Eukaryota, Metazoa, Chordata, Mammalia, Primates, Cebidae. The record is from Ensembl.
AUACUUACCUGGCAGGGGAGAUAGCAUGGUCACGAAGGUGGUUUUCCCAGGUUUAUCCAUUGCACUCUGGAUGUGCUGACCCCUGCAGUUUCCCCAAAUGUGGGAAACUCGACUGCAUAAUUUGUAGUAGUGAAGGACUGUGUUCACGCUUUCCCCUG